ACGGUUAUAAAUCAACCCCUUGAUUUAUAAACAUGGAAAUCCCCUGAGUGAAACGAAUUGCUGUGUGUAGUCUUUGCCCAUCUCCCACGAUGGGCUUUUUUUUAU
Cronobacter sp. is the source of this 105-nucleotide non-coding RNA. NCBI's taxonomy places the organism in Bacteria, Pseudomonadati, Pseudomonadota, Gammaproteobacteria, Enterobacterales, Enterobacteriaceae. The record is from Rfam.